CACUGGGAGAGGAUACAACAGAGCAGAGAUCAGUUGAUCAUGUUCUUGCCUCCCGGCUCUGUACUUGUGAUCUUGUUGGUUUUGGGGAGGACGGAUGGAGACUCGGUGAACCAGACGGAAGGUCAUGUAGCACUCGUUGAAGGGACAGCACUCUCUCUCAACUGCACUUACAAAAUUGGAGGCUCUACCCCUUAUGUCUUCUGGUAUGUUCAGUUUCCUGGGGAAGGCCUUCAGUUCCUCCUAAACGCCAUGUCUGGGAGAGAAGAGGGGAAAAGUGAGAAUGGAUUUCAUGCCAAACUCAAUAAGACUGAGACGUCUUUCCACCUGAGGAAGCAAGCCAUCACCGUGGGAGACUCGGCUGUGUACUACUGUGCUGUGAGUGACACAGAGAUGGGAGCCUCAGGGGGAGCUGUACACAAACCCCUGACAGAAUCAGCAGUGACACGGAGUUUGGGCAGAGGUGGAUGUGGAGUGAAGUACUCACGCCUGCUCUGGGGCUGUCUCCAUGGAGAUAGGAAACUCCUAGCCCUGCUAGUCCCACAGAAAAUGGCUGGGCUUGUCUCCAGUCUGCACAUUUCUUUUCCUAUAUUCACCUCUCCUGCUCUUUCUGUCCUACAACACCCUCAUCUCUUCCUCUCUCUCAGUCAGGCUGAUGCACAUGACAUGGCCAGGGGAUGGAAAAGGCUGCAGGAUUUUGUGACCAGUGGCCACCUGCAUGUGGGAUUUCCAUGAAGAUAUGGACCAAAGUCCAUGAUCCUCUCAAAUGCCCCAUCCCAUCCUUUCCUUCUCUGAAAAUGUUUUCUCUGGAAGAUUUUCCUCCUCUCCAUGAAUCCUUCACACCAUUGGCUCCAACACAUGGAAAUAACCCAAGUACUGUAGCAUCUAUGCUACUGAAGCAAACUUGUUCUCAACUGCACUUAUGAUAUCAGCGUCUCUUUGCCUUAUCUCUUCUGGUACAUCCAGUUUCCCAGUGAAGGCCAUCAGCUCCUCCUUAAAGGCACAUCUGGGGAAGAACAGGAGGAAAGUAGGAACGAUUUUCAUGGCAAACUCAAUAAGACUGAGAAGUAGUUCCAUCUGAGGAAGCAAGCCCUUGCCCCGAGAGACUUGGCUGUGUAUUACUGUACUCCAAAUGACACAGUGAUAGGAGCUGCAGCGGGAGCUGUCUUACCUGCCACCUGCCAUUACCUGGUUACCUUGUAUCUAUCCCAGCGCGUAGUACAGUGAUUGACACAUAGUAAGCGCUUAACAAAUAUCAAAGUGUUUUUGUUAUUAUUAUUAUAAUCUUCUUAGAAAAGAGCAGAGUGCAUUCUCUAGAAAUGGCCUGUGAAACCAUUGCACAGUGCUCAGCUCUUAGAACAGUGCUUGGCACAUAGUAAGUGCUUAACAAACAACAUCAUCAUCAUCACCACCUCAGUAGAUUUACCACAAGAGGGCAUUAUCUCCCAGUAAAGACCUAUUUCUUCCGGAUUUUCAUGUCUGAUGUCAACCAACGUGUAAUUUUUUUUUACCUUUACCUCUUCCUUGGGUGUCACUGAGAGAGGAUACUGAGAGCGCAGAGAACAGUUGACCAUGGUCUUCCCUCCAGAUUUUUUAAUUGUGAUCUUGUUACUCUUGGAGAAGACGAAUGGAGAUUCAGUGGAUCAGACAAAAGGCCACAUAGCCCUCGCUGAAGAGAAAACACUGACUCUUAACUGCACUUAUGAAACUACCUACUCUUCUCCUUAUCUCUUCUGGGGUGAGCGGCCUGGACGAGGUUGAGCAAACUCCUCCAUCCCUGACCAUCCAAGAGGGGGAGGAUGGCAUCAUGAACUGCAGCUACAAAGCCAGCAAUUUUCAAGGUUUACAAUGGUACCGACAGUAUGCUGGAAAAGGCCCUGAAUUCCUGUUUAUCCUGUGGUUAAAUGGAGAUAAUAAAAAGGAAGGAAGAUUGACAGCCAACCUCAGGACUGAAGGAAGUGUCAGCUCCCUGCUCAUCAGGGACUCCCACCUCGAAGACUCAGCCUCUUAUCUCUGUGCUGUGGAGACACAGUGAUCUCCAGACACCUGCAGCCUGUGUGGAAGUCCUGUCUACAUCUGGGGCACCUGCUCACACUCUUCCAGUGGGGUAUCCUAUUGUGUGACACAUAAAUUGACAAGUCUUUCACUGCAAAGGAAAUUAACCCAUCUCCUGAUAUGAUGAGCAGUACUCCCUGUAGACAGUCAGCCUGUCAGUCAGUCAAUGAUAUUUAUGGACCCCUUACUGCAUGCAGACCACUAUACCAAGU
Ornithorhynchus anatinus (platypus) is the source of this 2264-nucleotide long non-coding RNA. RefSeq lists it as uncharacterized. Lineage: Eukaryota; Metazoa; Chordata; Mammalia; Monotremata; Ornithorhynchidae. The record is from RefSeq and is a predicted model, not a curated record. The transcript has 4 exons.